This 773-nucleotide long non-coding RNA is filed under the name Gallus gallus (chicken). Lineage: Eukaryota; Metazoa; Chordata; Aves; Galliformes; Phasianidae. The record is from RNAcentral.
UGUGGGGGUUGAGGUGCUCUUGCAAGAACUCAUAGGUCAUGAAGUGAAUGGCUUGGAAGGGGAUGUUCAUGGUGAGCUGGGUGGUGUAGCUGCGGUAGAAAGCUCCAGCCCCUUCGUUGCGCCACACAGUCCGUACACAGUCUGUCACACACUGGUAAGGCGAGUUGUACAUCUGCAUCCUCUGUUUGACCACUUCUGCAGGGUUCAUCGCUGCGUCGUGGAGCAAUGUUGCUACACACCCGGCUGCACCGUUGGCCACAUGGCUAUUGCCCCCCGCGUGGAUGACGUCGCUCAGCGUCUUUUUUAACUUUUCGUAGCAGGCGAAGUAGAGGGCGUGGGCCGGGCCCGCGCCGGUGGCGGUGAUGUUCAGGCCCCGCAUGGGCCUCCACACGCCCUCGGUACGCACGAUGCGCCACAGGGCCUCCAGCACGUUGCGGUAGCGGGCGGCGGGCUCGGGCCGCAGGCUCUGCAUCCGAGUCUUGACGCAAUCGACGGGGUACAUCACGCAGUGCUCCAUGAUGCCCGCCACGGCGCCCGCCAGCAUGUGCGUGGACACGGCGGCGCCCUGCGGCAGCGCCUCGUAGUCGGGGGCGGGCGGCGAGCGCGGCUCCGGGCCCCGAGCCGCCUCAGCUCCCCCGGGGCCCGACGCCUCCGCGCCGCCCCGCCGCGCCCGGCCCGCGCCGCCGCCGCCGCCCAUCAGCAGCAGCAGGACGCGGCCCGACUCCGCGCCGCCCCGCGCGCCGGGGCUGGCGCCCGCCCCCGCGCCCGCCCCC